RNAcentral lists this ribosomal RNA (492 nucleotides) under uncultured bacterium. RNAcentral's name for it is "partial 16S ribosomal RNA". It matches the Rfam family "Bacterial small subunit ribosomal RNA", at positions 29 to 507 of the family's 1533-position model. The record is from RNAcentral.
AGUGAACGCUGGCGGUAGGCCUAACACAUGCAAGUCGAACGGCAGCACAGUAAGAGCUUGCUCUUACGGGUGGCGAGUGGCGGACGGGUGAGGAAUACAUCGGAAUCUACUUUUUCGUGGGGGAUAACGUAGGGAAACUUACGCUAAUACCGCAUACGACCUACGGGUGAAAGCAGGGGAUCUUCGGACCUUGCGCGAUUGAAUGAGCCGAUGUCGGAUUAGCUAGUUGGCGGGGUAAAGGCCCACCAAGGCGACGAUCCGUAGCUGGUCUGAGAGGAUGAGCAGCCGCACUGGGACUGAGACACGGUCCAGAGUCCUAGGGGAGGCAGCAGUGGGGAAUAUUGGGCAAUGGGCGCAAGCCUGAUCCAGCCAUGCCGAGUGGGUGAAGAGGGCCUUCGGGUUGUAAAGCCCUUUUGUUGGGAAAGAAAAGCAUCAGGUUAAUACCCCGCUGUUCUGACGGUACCCAAAGAAUGAGCACCGGCUAACUUCGUG